AACGAACGCUGGCGGCAUGCCUAACACAUGCAAGUCGAACGAGACCUUCGGGUCUAGUGGCGCACGGGUGCGUAACGCGUGGGAACCUGCCCUUAGGUUCGGAAUAACUCCCCGAAAGGGGUGCUAAUACCGGAUAAUGUCUUCGGACCAAAGAUUUAUCGCCUUUGGAUGGGCCCGCGUUGGAUUAGCUAGUUGGUAGGGUAAAAGCCUACCAAGGCGACGAUCCAUAGCUGGUCUGAGAGGAUGAUCAGCCACACUGGGACUGAGACACGGCCCAGACUCCCACGGGAGGCAGCAGUGGGGAAUAUUGGACAAUGGGCGAAAGCAUGAUCCAGCAAUGCCGCGUGAGUGAUGAAGGCCUUAGGGUUGUAAAGCUCUUUUACCCGGGAUGAUAAUGACAGUACCGGGAGAAUAAGCUCCGGCUAACUCCGUG
This 433-nucleotide ribosomal RNA is filed under the name uncultured bacterium. RNAcentral describes it as "partial 16S ribosomal RNA". It matches the Rfam family "Bacterial small subunit ribosomal RNA", at positions 29 to 507 of the family's 1533-position model. The record is from RNAcentral.